UUUGUUAAGAGUUUUUACAUAAGCAGUAUUUGCAGAUGAUGAAAUGAAACCAGCAGUAAUUUUUCCAGAUGCUACAAAGAGAAUUUCAGAGGCAGCAGGGUGAGUGUGCAUUGGAACAACACCCCCUGGUGCAAGGUCCAGUCGUGCAGAGGAUAGGCCAAGACCAUUUACUCCCGGAAAUUGCUGAACAAAAGCUGGCGUCACAGCAGCACUGAUAAUAUUCGUAGUGUUACCA
This 235-nucleotide long non-coding RNA is filed under the name Manihot esculenta (cassava). RNAcentral describes it as "long non-coding RNA (MESC_LNC006342)". The record is from RNAcentral. Lineage: Eukaryota; Viridiplantae; Streptophyta; Magnoliopsida; Malpighiales; Euphorbiaceae.